AACGAACGCUAUCGGUAUGCUUAACACAUGCAAGUCGGACGGACUAAUUGGGGCUUGCUCCAAUUAGUUAGUGGCAGACGGGUGAGUAACACGUGGGAAUCUGCCCAUCAGUACGGAAUAACUUUUAGAAAUAAAAGCUAAUACCGUAUAUUCUCUACAGAGGAAAGAUUUAUCGCUGAUGGAUGAGCCCGCGUCAGAUUAGGUAGUUGGUGAGGUAACGGCUCACCAAGCCGACGAUCUGUAGCUGGUCUGAGAGGAUGAUCAGCCACACUGGGACUGAGACACGGCCCAGACUCCUACGGGAGGCAGCAGUGGGGAAUAUUGGACAAUGGGCGAAAGCCUGAUCCAGCAAUACCGAGUGAGUGAUGAAGGCCCUAGGGUUGUAAAGCUCUUUUA
Molecule: ribosomal RNA, 396 nt
Filed under: Rickettsia felis
Lineage: Bacteria; Pseudomonadati; Pseudomonadota; Alphaproteobacteria; Rickettsiales; Rickettsiaceae
Description: bacterial SSU rRNA
Rfam family: Bacterial small subunit ribosomal RNA
Source: RNAcentral